This 301-nucleotide ribosomal RNA is filed under the name uncultured bacterium. RNAcentral's name for it is "partial 16S ribosomal RNA". It matches the Rfam family "Bacterial small subunit ribosomal RNA", at positions 509 to 809 of the family's 1533-position model. The record is from RNAcentral.
CAGUCGCCACGGGAAUACGGAGGGUGCAAGCGUUAAUCGGAAUUACUGGGCGUAAAGCGCACGCAGGCGGUCUGACAAGUCAGAUGUGAAAUCCCCGGGCUUAACCUGGGAACUGCAUUUGAAACUGUCAGGCUGGAGUCUUGUAGAGGGGGGUAGAAUUCCAGGUGUAGCGGUGAAAUGCGUAGAGAUCUGGAGGAAUACCGGUGGCGAAGGCGGCCCCCUGGACAAAGACUGACGCUCAGGUGCGAAAGCGUGGGGAGCAAACAGGAUUAGAUACCCGAGUAGUCCCUGUCUCUUAUAA